This 64-nucleotide transfer RNA is filed under the name Riccardoella tokyoensis. RNAcentral describes it as "tRNA-Phe". Lineage: Eukaryota; Metazoa; Arthropoda; Arachnida; Trombidiformes; Ereynetidae. The record is from RNAcentral.
UAUCAUAUAGCUUAUAUAAAGUGUAGUUUUGAAGAUACUAAGAAAAAUUGGUAGUUUAUUUUUA